UACGUAGGGUGCGAGCGUUGUCCGGAUUUAUUGGGCGUAAAGAGCGUGUAGGCGGCCAGGUAGGUCUGGUGUGAAAACUCGAGGCUUAACCUUGAGAUGUCAUCGGAAACCAUUUGGCUAGAGUCCGGAAGAGGAAAGUGGAAUUCCUGGUGUAGCGGUGAAAUGCGCAGAUAUCAGGAAGAACACCAAUGGCGAAAGCAGCUUUCUGGGACGGUACUGACGCUGAGACGCGAAAGCGUGGGGAGCGAACAGG
RNAcentral lists this ribosomal RNA (253 nucleotides) under uncultured bacterium. Its description in RNAcentral is "partial 16S ribosomal RNA". It matches the Rfam family "Bacterial small subunit ribosomal RNA", at positions 524 to 776 of the family's 1533-position model. The record is from RNAcentral.